AUAGAUUGUAACUAAUAAGUCAUUCUCUUUUUGUGAAUAUUGAAAUAAAAUGUUGACAUGUUCAGAACAUUUCUAUCAUUUUUUCUAGGUAAAGGAUUUACAAAAACUGGCCUGUUCCUGGAAACAAUCCUGGCUUCAGCCAAUCAGGUUUUAGCAGGGAGUUGCAGACUCUCUUCCCUGGGUAUCAGAAGAAGCUCCUACUUUCCUGUGGUUUUUGUCCAUUUAACCUGUGGAUUUGGGGUAGACACAGGCUGGAAACUACUGCUCUGGAAAAUGUCUCCAGUCUGUCUACUAUCUCAAGAGUCUGAAAGACAUGAAGUACUGUAUAAGAACAUUCAAAGAUGCUGAGAUGACCUGUGCUGUGAAAGCUGUUAUUAUUCUUCAUAAAUUGUGGUAUUUUUUUCUUUUUAUUAGUAGAAAUUCUGUGCAUUUAAAAACUGAUUUAGAGUAGUCAGA
RNAcentral lists this long non-coding RNA (456 nucleotides) under Phasianus colchicus (ring-necked pheasant). Its description in RNAcentral is "lncRNA (ENSPCLG00000002222.1)". The record is from RNAcentral. Lineage: Eukaryota; Metazoa; Chordata; Aves; Galliformes; Phasianidae.